Molecule: long non-coding RNA, 551 nt
Organism: Lathyrus oleraceus (garden pea)
Lineage: Eukaryota; Viridiplantae; Streptophyta; Magnoliopsida; Fabales; Fabaceae
Exons: 3
Source: RefSeq, a predicted model, not a curated record
UGAUUUGUUUUUUUUCUUGAUGUGGUGUAGAUGGUUUUUCACUAUCACUAUUAUUCAUAUGUAUAAAAUAUGUUUGUGUCUGUCUCUUGUAUUGGAUCUGAUGAUAGGUAUAGGAGAAACACAUUUGUUGCGAUUUCUUUAGACUCAAGUCAAUAUUAUAUACAUGAAAAAACUCAGAUCUACCAUCAGAACAACAAAAAUCAGUUCACUGAUUAUCAUUUCAAGCCUAAUCAAAUCAAAAUAUUUGUAUUUGUAUGCCUUAUCUAUUGUUCUUUGGUGUAUGGUUCAACUUCGUAAUUCUUCGACCGUGAUUUCCUUGAUAUAGGAGGUAUAGUAGCAUCAGAAUGGUUUUCAACAACAUGAUUAUUUUGAUAACAUGUUGUAAGGUGUGGAGCAAUAGUAGAAGUUUGAGAUGCGAGAAUCAUAAUUUCAUUGAUUACUUUUCUCGAAUUUCUUUGUGAAGAUGUUACUGGAUUUUUUUUCUCUUCCUUCUUCCUCUACCGUUAACAUUGGUUACUCUGCUGUAAUGGAAUCUGUUAGAGUGACAGUAA